UACGUACUGGGCGAACGUUAUUCGGAAUCACUGGGCUUAAAGGGUGCGUAGGCGGCCUUCCAGGUCCGGUGUGAAAUCUCACGGCUCAACCGUGAAAUGGCGCUGGAAACCGGAAGGCUUGAGUGUGCUAGGGGUGUGUGGAACUUCCAGUGGAGCGGUGAAAUGUGUUGAUAUUGGAAGGAACGCCGGUGGCGAAAGCGACACACUGGGGCACAACUGACGCUGAGGCACGAAAGCUAGGGUAGCGAACGGGAUUAGAUACCCCCGUAGUCC
RNAcentral lists this ribosomal RNA (273 nucleotides) under uncultured bacterium. RNAcentral describes it as "partial 16S ribosomal RNA". It matches the Rfam family "Bacterial small subunit ribosomal RNA", at positions 524 to 796 of the family's 1533-position model. The record is from RNAcentral.